This is a non-coding RNA of Nicotiana tabacum (common tobacco), 300 nucleotides long. Lineage: Eukaryota; Viridiplantae; Streptophyta; Magnoliopsida; Solanales; Solanaceae. The record is from RefSeq and is a predicted model, not a curated record.
UGCAAUGCUUCACAACAGUAUGCUGCCCUUGGAAUAGAUAAGGUAUAUUUUGGUGAAGAACUACUAAGAAGAAAGCUAAGGAGAAGAUUAAAUACAACAGAAAAAAUGCAUCACCAUUUGCCAAUGUGUAAAUAGUAUAAAAUGUAAAUAAUUCUUCCAUAUGUGAUAUAAAGAAUAUGACUCACAUGCAUCUAAUAAUAUGAUACUGUUACGUAGGUAAAUAAUGUAUUAUUUGCCAACCAGACAACAUUCAAGAGUGGAUAUUUUGUUCCAAAUAAAUAAUACCUUGCUAUUAAAAUA